GUGGCAAACAUCUGAAACAAAAAUCCUGUAUUUGUCCAUAGGCAGUUACAGUAUUAUCAGCAGUGCAUGCUCCUCUGAGUUUGCCUUCAUUCAACUCUGACCAAGGAUGAGUGAGCACCAUUUUGAAUAUGAAGGCACUUCAAUUUUCAUGCUUAUUCAAUCCUGGGUCUCU
This 172-nucleotide small RNA is filed under the name Calidris pygmaea (Spoon-billed sandpiper). Its description in RNAcentral is "TUC338 (ENSCPGG00000001404.1)". Lineage: Eukaryota; Metazoa; Chordata; Aves; Charadriiformes; Scolopacidae. The record is from RNAcentral.